AAUAAGCUAUUUAAGAGCGUAAGGUGGAUGCCUUGGCUCUCAGAGGCGAUGAGGGACGUGAUAAGCUGCGAUAAGCUACGGGGAUUGGCACACACAAUUUGAUCCGUAGAUUUCCGAAUGGGGCAACCCACUAUAUUGAAGAUAUAGUAUCCGUUAAGGAAGCAAACCCAGGGAACUGAAACAUCUAAGUACCUGGAGGAAUAGAAAACAAAAGUGAUUCCGCUAGUAGUGGCGAGCGAACGCGGAACAGCCCAAACCAAAAUUGUUUCGGCAAUUUUGGGGUUGUAGGACCACGACAUUGAAUGUUUAAUGAAUUAGAAUUCUUUGGAAAAAGAAACCAUAGAGGGUGAUAGUCCCGUAUAGUAAAGAGAAUUAUUCAUAGUGGUAUCCUGAGUAGCGCGGG
RNAcentral lists this ribosomal RNA (403 nucleotides) under uncultured Flavobacteriaceae bacterium. RNAcentral's name for it is "bacterial LSU rRNA". It matches the Rfam family "Bacterial large subunit ribosomal RNA", at positions 1 to 421 of the family's 2925-position model. Lineage: Bacteria; Pseudomonadati; Bacteroidota; Flavobacteriia; Flavobacteriales; Flavobacteriaceae. The record is from RNAcentral.